AUGGACACCGCCCUAGACGAAGCAAAAGAAGCGUUGUUGAGGGACAUAAUCGCAGAAGGAAGUGAUGUCGUCUCGUUGUUUCUCAAUGACACCGAUGGUCUGGAAGGAGAGGGUGAACAAGCUGGCUACGGUGACCUAAUGCCGGUGCAAGAAGAAGAACAUGAGGACGGCUCCGUUGACCCAAUGCCGGUGCAAGAAGGAGACCGUGAUGACGGCUCCGGUGACCGAACCGAGUUAUAUAUAUUACCCUCCGGAUCGAGCACAACUUCGGUAAAGAGACAAGGCCCGAAGAAAAAGUUGAGCUCGGAUGAAAAGUUUGAGAUCAUAGCAAUCGCGCCCGACGGCCAACCGAUUGAACCCCUCCGGACAAAGAGCGCAUUUGUUGCUCAGUGCAGGGUUCUGGUUAGGGAGAAGAUCCCGAUAAGCAUCCAGCAAUGGUUUAAGCCGGCUACAGAAGACCCUGAGGUGUCUUAUGUCAAUGAUAUGCAGAAAAAUGAUCUUUGGACUGAGCUGAAGUCAAAUUUCACCCUACCGCCAGAGGAUAAUCCAGAGAACCCAAUUAAAGAGAAAUUAAUCAAGUCUUUUGCUCUUAAGAGGAUGGCAGAACUAUUCAGGAGGUGGAAGAAAGAGCUGAAUAAGUUUGUCGAAAAUAAUGAGACACCAGAAUUCAAGGUCAGAUAUGAGAAGAUCAGAGAUCACUGGCCCGCAUUUGUGGCCCAUAAGACAUCGGAAAAGAGUAAGAAGAUGUCGGUGACAAACAAGCAAAAUGCUGCGAAGAAGAUGCUUCACCAUCGCACGGGGUCAGGUGGCUACCUCGUAGCCCGGCCUAAGUGGGCCAAGACUGAGAAUGAUCUGGUUCAUAAAGGGAUCGAACCAGAGACAAUUAGCUGGCCAGACCGUUGCCGGACUUGGUUCUUAGGGGCUGGCGGAACCUUGGACCCUGUAACAGGGAAGUGCAUUUGGACGAACGAUCAAAUGGACAUACCAGUCAGGAAGCUUAAGCAGUAUAUCGAAGCAGCACAGCAAGGGAAGUUCUUUCCAGACAGAGAGAAUGACAAGCUCACAAUGGCCCUCAGGAAUCCUGAGCACCCUGGACGGACACGAGGCACGCCAGGCUCCAUUCCGUGGAAGGUUGGGUUUCCGGACGCAGGCGGUUACAAAUCCCAUGAGAGGAGGAAAAAAGUGCAGCAGACCCAAAUGCAGGCGCUGCAAGCAAGGGUAGACACGAUAGAGGAACGAGAAGCAAAUCGCAGCAAACGUACUACCGAAGCCUCCCCCGAAGCUACCCCGCCAUCUCAGCGCAGAAGCAGCGUGGCUCCCACCGAGCUGCUUUAG
RNAcentral lists this ribosomal RNA (1335 nucleotides) under Triticum aestivum (bread wheat). Its description in RNAcentral is "partial small subunit ribosomal RNA". The record is from RNAcentral. Lineage: Eukaryota; Viridiplantae; Streptophyta; Magnoliopsida; Poales; Poaceae.